GCCAAUUUCCCGAUUAUCACGCAGGAAUAUAGAGUCAGAUCUAAGAUGCUCAAGGGUGAACUGAACAAAAAAAAAUUACCGUGUAUGUCUAUACGGUAACACUAAGCAGGGUUUAUGUUAUGACAACACUUAGAAAUUGAUAACAACAAUUAUUCCUAUUUGUUAUUUUAGGAAGUACACGUAGGGAGCAGUCAGGGUAAUUUCGGCCUACUUUGUUUCAGGCAAUAAUCACUGUAACGGUAAUAAAAAAGACUAGAGCGACGGUGUUUUUACAAAUCAGGAUUUAUCUCGAGAUUAAACAACAUUAACAAAAACAUUGCUAAUACUCUCAAUUAUUUUUU
RNAcentral lists this long non-coding RNA (341 nucleotides) under Mytilus galloprovincialis (Mediterranean mussel). The record is from RNAcentral. Lineage: Eukaryota; Metazoa; Mollusca; Bivalvia; Mytilida; Mytilidae.